AACUCCUUGUUGCAUCGUAAACAUUUUGAAACGGCGCAGUUGGAAUGAGUGAGUCAAUGAGCCUUUGAAAUGGGUCCUAUAAAUUAUUCCGGACCAAGAAUCUUUUCUCACCCACUUUUUCUUCCAUAGCACUGAAGUCUGAAGAAGUCA
This is a non-coding RNA of Caenorhabditis elegans, 150 nucleotides long. Lineage: Eukaryota; Metazoa; Nematoda; Chromadorea; Rhabditida; Rhabditidae. The record is from Ensembl.